RNAcentral lists this ribosomal RNA (434 nucleotides) under uncultured bacterium. Its description in RNAcentral is "bacterial SSU rRNA". It matches the Rfam family "Bacterial small subunit ribosomal RNA", at positions 959 to 1392 of the family's 1533-position model. The record is from RNAcentral.
ACGCGAAGAACCUUACCNCAGGUUUGACAUGCAGACGACGGUUCUAGAGAUAGAAAUUUCCUUCGGGACGUCUGCACAGGUGCUGCAUGGCUGUCGUCAGCUCGUGCCGUGAGGUGUUGGGUUAAGUCCCGCAACGAGCGCAACCCUUAUCACUAGUUGCCAACACGUAAAGGUGGGAACUCUAGUGAGACUGCCCGGGUUAACCGGGAGGAAGGUGAGGAUGAUGUCAAGUCCGCAUGGCCCUUAUAUCUGGGGCUACACACGUGCUACAAUGGUCGGUACAGAAGGCAGCAAAGCCGCGAGGUGGAGCAAAUCCCCAAAGCCGAUCCCAGUUCAGAUUGUAGUCUGCAACUCGACUACAUGAAGACGGAAUUGCUAGUAAUGGCGAGUCAGCAACAUCGCCGUGAAUACGUUCCCGGGUCUUGUACACACCG